RNAcentral lists this long non-coding RNA (225 nucleotides) under Phasianus colchicus (ring-necked pheasant). RNAcentral describes it as "lncRNA (ENSPCLG00000002314.1)". The record is from RNAcentral. Lineage: Eukaryota; Metazoa; Chordata; Aves; Galliformes; Phasianidae.
GUCCGUACACCAUUAAGGUGACCAUGUUAAGAACUACACUAUCUUCACUUCCCAGUUUCACUCUUCAGUGAGUAAAAUAGAUGAAGUCUACAUUUCUGAGGAAAGAAGAUUAAUUGAAAAGAUAUUUAGUCUCCAUAGUAAUGUUGCAUCCUUGCUAUUAGAGAUGAAAUUUCGCAGAUGUUUCUUUGAUGAAUAAUGGACCAUACAAGCAUUUGUCAGGAAUAG